GACACACCAAUAUCAACUUUAUUUGUUCAUUAAUACUUAUAAAGUCAUUACACUAGAAUUUUCUUUGAAAGAAAAUUCUAGUGUAUUGACUUUAUAAGUAUUAAUGGCUUUGGUAUUAAUUAAUGAACAAAUAAAGUUGAUAUUGGUGUGUC
This 152-nucleotide microRNA precursor is filed under the name Malus domestica (apple). RNAcentral's name for it is "miR7124a stem-loop (mdm-MIR7124a)". Lineage: Eukaryota; Viridiplantae; Streptophyta; Magnoliopsida; Rosales; Rosaceae. The record is from miRBase by way of RNAcentral.